UUCCACAGACAGAUAGCUCACUCGAAAGCGUUAGCAAAGUUCAUUACAGAUAGUGCAAAACUGUUGUUGUCAAAGAAUGGUCAAUUUCUGCUCGGAUGAUACAUACCAAGAAUAGUUGUCACCUUUCAUCAGUUGCAACCAUCAAUACCAAUACUUCCAGAUAAAUGGAGAGAUGCUACUGGAACGGUAGAAAACUAAAAGAUUAAAAUCAAACAAGAAAGUGUUAGAAAGAUGAUAUAUGGUUGAGGACGGCAAUACAGGUUCCAUGGGCGGCUGGUAGAUCUUGGCACCUCACUGGCCCUCCAUGUACCUUGAGAAGCGACACAAGUUAAAAUACAUCCACGCUUGCUGAAACUAAUAUUUGCAUACUGUUGAAAAGGCACGUAAUAAAAUUACCUCAUGAGAGCACACCCGCUCUCAUGAUAGCAUUGUGCUAUUAGGUAUGUGAUUCCUCGCAACAUAUGAGCUAGUUUCUGCAUUCUUGUUGGCUUCACAAUUCUCCUUUAAUAAAAGUAACAAAUAUUCACUAAGUAAUACAGUAAUACUACAAGAGAAGCAGAAUUAGACUGACGAAAGAAAUAUACAACAGAUAAAACAAGGCAUUAUAUUUGAGAGAAGAUACAUGAUAAAACAAGAGGUCUUAUAAUCAUCAUCCUUUGUAUGCUGAGCAGAUUCCAAGGGAAAAAAUGUUGGGCAGAUUGAAAUGGUUCGGAUAAACUAACAAUUUUACCACAAAUUCAAUAUGCCAGGGUGAUUUAAAUAGAAUAAACUUACCAAAAGAAGAGAAAAAAAUGGGUUCAAACUUCUGAAAUUCAUCGGGGUUAUGUUCUUAAAGUCUGUUAUGACGCCCCAAAUGUUCCAGUGUGAUACUUGUUCAUGUAAUCAGAAAAUGCUUCCUACAUAUCCAAAAAUGUAAAUGUAUUAUCAGAUUUACCAGAAAGUUAAUAAUAUGGUCACAUGAGUUAAAUAAGAGUAGCACUACAAAUAACUUAAUACCAGAAGGAAAAACGCUGACAUCCAGAAUCAACAAACUUUCCAUACAAAUAUCACUUCAUUGUUCCUAGAGGUCCACUACCUGAAGAUUAUCAUGUCAUCAGUAGAAUAAUUAUGGAUAUGAAUAAUUCAAAAUUAAAGUGAGAGAUUGCAGAUAAGUGCAUAGUCCAUCAUCAUCUUUUCUCCAAAAAUUCUACAAUCACCACCAAGAAGCAGUAGGUCGUCUAUUUGUGAUUCCUCCCUUUACCCGGCUAUCGUCUAUUUGUCGCGCCAUCAUUUUUGCUGGUCCUUAUAAAUAAUAUGGAUUUCAUGUGGAAUAAACAAAAUACGGUCGAAUAAUAAACAACACCUGCACCCGGUUACCUUUGGCCUGAUGUCCUCGUGACCACAACAACAAUUUCCUAAAUCGCCCCUCGUCCUCCUUUUAUUUGAAGCUCUGAAAAACACACGCUGCACAAAAAGAAACACUAAGCAGUGAUAAAUGUAAACACACCGAUAAUUGGAUCCGACCCUGAAAACAAAUGGUACAUGAUUCAAUAAUAAAGAAUAAAAAAGAAUUUGCAUUUCCCCAUCCGAGCAGAGAGGAUCGUGAAGAUUGGAAGUCCCAGAGAAAUAGAUCAUCACGAUCGAUCCAAAUGAGAGGUGCAAGGAUCACAAUCCUUUGCUCACAAAUCCCUUUAAUUACCCAGCCAUCACCUAUGCUCUCCCGCUAUCUGGUGGAUCAAGAACCAGAUCGAUUGGAGUGAAAUAAUACAGUUCUUACUAAUUCAGUCACGGCACACUUUGUCAAGCAGGGGAGGUUCAUCUUUAAAAUCAUCUAGGAGUAGAAGCACACAACCUAGAAGUGAGAAACGAGAGAGAGAGAGAGAGAGAGAGAAGGAGGCACUUGCGCAGUCGUUUGAAAAUAGAGUGGCAGGGGAACGGUGGCGGGGGCUCCAUCCCAAUCGCCUCCGGUGCUGCACGAGGAGGCUUUUCGCUUCCCACUCGUGCUGUCCUCUGGUCACAUCAAUCGCCAUGAUGCAGAGCGGAAGCGCGGCCGCCAUCUUGGGCGGCAGCACCCUGGCGUUUGACGGCGGUACGGUGGAUGGCCUGGAGGCGGUGUGAUCCAGGCGCAAGCCGUGCAACGUCGGAAAUCCGGCCGCGAUGGCACGGACGGGGGCGCGGCCGGGAGACACGAGGCGGAGGAGAUCGGGGCGCGGUGGUGGGGAUCGGAGCGCGGCGGCUGGAAUCGGGGAGGCGGAGGUGAUCGGGGCACCGGG
RNAcentral lists this long non-coding RNA (2252 nucleotides) under Triticum aestivum (bread wheat). RNAcentral's name for it is "long non-coding RNA (TAES_LNC021647)". The record is from RNAcentral. Lineage: Eukaryota; Viridiplantae; Streptophyta; Magnoliopsida; Poales; Poaceae.